GUCUACGGCCAUACCACCCUGAACGCGCCCGAUCUCGUCUGAUCUCGGAAGCUAAGCAGGGUCGGGCCUGGUUAGUACUUGGAUGGGGAAAAAAGUGUGAAACAACGGCUACCGGAGGGU
This is a ribosomal RNA of Ochotona princeps (American pika), 120 nucleotides long. NCBI's taxonomy places the organism in Eukaryota, Metazoa, Chordata, Mammalia, Lagomorpha, Ochotonidae. The record is from Ensembl.